AUUGAACGCUGGCGGCAUGCUUUACUCAUGCAAGUCGGACCGUAACAGUCCGCCAGGUGCUUACGAGUGGCGGACGGGUGAGUAAUGCAUCGGAACGUGCCCAGUCAUGGGGGAUAACUACUCGAAAGAGUAGCUAAUACCGCAAACGAUCUAUGGAUGAAAGCGGGGGACCGAAGGGCCUCUCGCGAUUGCACCGGCCGAUUACACACUAGGUAGUUGGUGUGGGAAAGGCUCACCAAGCCAACGAUCUGUAGCUGGUCUGCGAGGACGCUCAGCCACACUGGGAAGGAGACACGGCCCAGACUCCUACGGGAGGCAGUAGUGGGGAAUUUUGGACAAUGGGCGCAAGCCUGAUCCAGCAAUGCCGAGUGCAGGAAGAAGGCCUUCGGGUUGUAAACUGCUUUUGUACGGAACGAAACUGCUCUGGUUAAUACCCGGGGCUAAUGACGGUACCGUAAGAAUAAGCACCGGAUAACUACGUG
This 482-nucleotide ribosomal RNA is filed under the name uncultured bacterium. RNAcentral describes it as "partial 16S ribosomal RNA". It matches the Rfam family "Bacterial small subunit ribosomal RNA", at positions 30 to 507 of the family's 1533-position model. The record is from RNAcentral.